Long non-coding RNA from Rhincodon typus (whale shark), 1537 nucleotides. RefSeq lists it as uncharacterized. The transcript is spliced from 3 exons. NCBI's taxonomy places the organism in Eukaryota, Metazoa, Chordata, Chondrichthyes, Orectolobiformes, Rhincodontidae. The record is from RefSeq and is a predicted model, not a curated record.
AACUAUUUUGAAAACAGCGAUUUAACCCUCUUGUGGCGCAGUAGUAGCGUCUCUACCUCUGGAUCAGGAAGCCCGGUUCAAGUCCCACCUGCGCCAGAAGUGCGUAGGAACAUCUUUAAACAGGGUGGUUAGAAAAAUAGAGAUAACAAGGUGUAGAGCUGGAUGAACACAGCAGGCCAAGCAGCAUCAUAGGAGCAGGAAGGCUGACGUUUCGGGCCUAGACCCUUGUUAUCUCAGAUUUUCCAGCAUCUGCAGAUCCCACUAUCUCUGGUUAGAAAAAUAGGUUUACCAGGCUUGCUGCAUAAUGUCAUAGCAAGGAAUCGAUACGUGUUGUAAACUCCAUCUAGUCGUCAUGGGUUCCUGUAUGAGAUGAUGAGUUUACAAAAUUGAAUGGUCAGCAAUUAACAGAGCAGGUUGGAACUGCAAGCAAGUUUCAGAUCCAGGGCUACGUCCUGUUGUUUGCCCCAGAAAAAGCCAGACGUUCUCUCCUGAAUAAAACCAGUUACCUUUCCUGCAGUACUUGUGAUGAGCUGUGACUUCUGAAUUGGCCUCAGACCCUUAACUACCGUCCCAACACCUCUCCAGCUUCAAGGCACUCGUGAAAACCUGGCUGUGACAAAGCAUAAAGAGGAAGCUGAACGAUUGCAAAGCGAAAACGAUACGAUCAAGCUCAACUUGGCAAAUCUUUGUAAAGAAGUUUAAAGCGUGAAGCCACUGAAGCACAACAGAGUAACCUUCCAGAAGGCAUUAGUCACUGUUCAGAUUGCAAAGGUCUAGGAAUAUACAGGAUGCUGUCCUCACCAGCUGAAAGCCGGGGACAUGCUUUCUCUCCAACGUUGUGGAACGGGACUGUGUGUCACAGACAGAAUGUCUACACUCCCAUAUGCCACAUGGACAGAGCCAGACAAGAGCAACCUUGCUGGAUGACCACGUUGGGUUUUCAAUUUCUGAAGUCAUGCAAGAGAAAAAGAAAAUCACCUUCACCACAGUGCAUUUAAUUUCAGCAUUCCUGGUUUACAGCCUCUACCUCAUUCGGGAUGGAUAAAAUACAGUCCUCACUGCAGAACAAGCACAGUUCAUCAAAUAAUUACAAUGAACCUUGAUCACUUAUCACAGAACGAUAUAAUCUUAUCUUCACAACAGUCCAGACCAAACAUCUCUAAUAUGUUCCAAUUCACAAUUAACUGUACCCUGCAUGGUUUAUCUCCUCAGUCACCUUACACACUGAGAAGGUCUAGGAAUAUACAGGAUGCUGUCCUCACCAGCCCGAAAACCGGGGACACAUAUGCUCUCCAACGUUAUGGAAUCGGACUGUACGUCAUAGACCCCAGAGGCCUACGCUCCCAUGCGCCACAUGGACAGAGCUAGACGAGAGCAACCUCGCCAGAUGCCCACAUUGGAUAUAUAACGGAAACACAAGCCCACUGUUGAACUUUAUUUAUAAAAAUGGUAAUUGUUAACUGGAAAAAUCAACAGAUUUUUAUUGUGCAAUAGAGCUAAUGUACAAGGAAUAUUCACAUAAAUGCUUACCUCUAUC